RNAcentral lists this ribosomal RNA (497 nucleotides) under uncultured bacterium. RNAcentral describes it as "partial 16S ribosomal RNA". It matches the Rfam family "Bacterial small subunit ribosomal RNA", at positions 28 to 507 of the family's 1533-position model. The record is from RNAcentral.
GAUGAACGCUGGCGGCGUGCCUAAUACAUGCAAGUCGAGCGAACAGACGAGGAGCUUGCUCCUCUGACGUUAGCGGCGGACGGGUGAGUAACACGUGGAUAACCUACCUAUAAGACUGGGAUAACUUCGGGAAACCGGAGCUAAUACCGGAUAAUAUAUUGAACCGCAUGGUUCAAUAGUGAAAUACGGUUUUGCUGUCACUUAUAGAUUGAUCCGCGCCGCAUUAGCUAGUUGGUAAGGUAACGGCUUACCAAGGCAACGAUGCGUAGCCGACCUGAGAGGGUGCUCGGCCACACUGGAACUGAGACACGGUCCAGACUCCUACGGGAGGCAGCAGUAGGGAAUCUUCCGCAAUGGGCGGAAGAUUGACGGAGCAACCCCGCGUGAGUGAUGAAGGUCUUCGGAUCGUAGAACUCUGUGAUUAGGGAAGAACAAAUGUGUAAGUAACUAUGCACGUCUUGACGGUACCUAAUCAGAAAGCCACGGCUAACUACGUG